This 492-nucleotide ribosomal RNA is filed under the name uncultured bacterium. RNAcentral describes it as "partial 16S ribosomal RNA". It matches the Rfam family "Bacterial small subunit ribosomal RNA", at positions 29 to 507 of the family's 1533-position model. The record is from RNAcentral.
AGUGAACGCUGGCGGUAGGCCUAACACAUGCAAGUCGAACGGCAGCACAGUAAGAGCUUGCUCUUACGGGUGGCGAGUGGCGGACGGGUGAGGAAUACUUCGGAAUCUACUUUUUCGUGGGGGAUAACGUAGGGAAACUUACGCUAAUACCGCAUACGACCUACGGGUGAAAGCAGGGGAUCUUCGGACCUUGCGCGAUUGAAUGAGCCGAUGUCGGAUUAGCUAGUUGGCGGGGUAAAGGCCCACCAAGGCGACGAUCCGUAGCUGGUCUGAGAGGAUGAUCAGCCACACUAGAACUGAGACACGGUCCAGACUCCUACGGGAGGCAGCAGUGGGGAAUAUUGGACAAUGGGCGCAAGCCUGAUCCAGCCAUACCGCGUGGGUGAAGAAGGCCUUCGGGUUGUAAAGCCCUUUUGUUGGGAAAGAAAAGCAGCAGGUUAAUACCCCGCUGUUCUGACGGUACCCAAAGAAUAAGCACCGGCUAACUUCGUG